AAACCCAUUCCCAAGCUUCGUCAAUAUUCAAACCCAUUCCCCCAAAACCGAGCUUGGUCCCUCCGUGUCUUACGUCUUCCUCAACCUGCAAACCCAUUCCCAUUCCCAUUCCCGAGCUUGGUCAAGGACCUCCGUGUCAUCAACCUUCAAACCCAUUCCCGUAAACUUGGAUCUCUGUCGUGUUCAACUUAAAGCCAGAAAAAUUUCAAGCCAGUAAGCUUGGAUCUCCGUCGCCUCAACCUUCAAACCCAUUCUCGGUAAAAGCUUCGUCCCUCCGUCGCCUCAAACUACAAGCCAGAAAAAUUUAAUCCCGUGAAGUUUGGUCCCUCCGUCGCCUCAACCUUUCAAACCUCUUCACGGUAAAGCUUCGUCCCUCCUUCGCUAUAGAACUACCGUGAAGCCAUAAAAAUUUCAUCCCCUGAAGCUUGGUCCAUUCCCGUGAAAGCUUCUUCCAAUCUACCUAAUUUUUUAAAUUUCAUCUUCUUCAAGGGCGAGAAACCCAUUCUGUCAUUUCCAUCCAGACCAAACCCUAAUACCACUGAAAAAAAAAUUCGUCUUCUUCAUCGCGAGAAACCCUCAGUUGUAGCCACUCGCCGUUCCCCGUCGCCACUCACCGUUGUUACGCCAACAAAGGAAAGGACAUUCUAUGAUUCUGACUUCCCUGAAAAAGGCUGCCGGCUGAAAACUUCUUUUGAUUGCGUUGGACAUGCUGGACUGCAUAUAAAUAACUUGCAUCACUCCCUCCAAAAUGACAUGUACUAACCAAAACAGAAGGCUGUCUUCCUCAUCCUCAAUGAAGCAAGUCUCUAGCAAAACCACAUCUACUUGGUAGACCUGUAGUGUGGGAAUUGAAAGAGUUAAGUUGAUUUGGCUAUUAUCUCUUGCUAUAGAGUAAUUUUAGCUUUCACUCCUCAUAUUUUCCACUUUGUCCUCGGUUAUAUCAUCUUAUCACCUGCCUAAUUCCUUCCUCAUAUUGCGGUUGGUUGAUUUUGAAGGUUGGGCAUUCUUGCGGGUUUAUUGUUGGUAUGACACAGAAAUACCAUAUGGUGAGAAGAGAAUCAACCAUUUAAAAACCGAAAUCAAAAGAUACAACUAGCAAUAGAUAUCCAAAGAACUUGACAUCGACUAGAAAUAGAGACUGAGAGGCUCAAGAGAAAGUUGGAUAGGGUCUGUAUUUAGUAAUUUCAAUGUGGUGGGUACUUCGUUUAGGCUUGCUUGUUGGGAAAUUCUGAGAAAAGAAGAUGUAAUAUAUUUUAGCUUAAUUUUGAAGAACUGUAUUUUUGCAUAUAUUGUAUUCAACUUGUAUUUUAUCAUGAACAAGAAGUUCAAAUUGGGCAUUUGUAAUCAAAUCGUAUGAGUUAUAAUGCACCAGAAUGAUUUGGUCUAA
Molecule: long non-coding RNA, 1387 nt
Organism: Carya illinoinensis
Lineage: Eukaryota; Viridiplantae; Streptophyta; Magnoliopsida; Fagales; Juglandaceae
Exons: 2
Source: RefSeq, a predicted model, not a curated record